UAGAGUUUGAUCCUGGCUCAGAUUGAACGCUGGCGGCAGGCUUAACACAUGCAAGUCGAGCGGGGGAGGUUGCUUCGGUAACUGACCUAGCGGCGGACGGGUGAGUAAUGCUUAGGAGUCUGCCUAUUAGUGGGGGACAACGUUCCGAAAGGAACGCUAAUACCGCAUACGUCCUAUGGGGGAAAGCAGGGGAUCUUCGGACCUUGCGCUAAUAGAUGAGCCUAAGUCGGAUUAGCUAGUUGGUGGGGUAAAGGCCUACCAAGGCGACGAUCUGUAGCGGGUCUGAGAGGAUGAUCCGCCACACUGGGACUGAGACACGGCCCAGACUCCUACGGGACGCAGCA
Molecule: ribosomal RNA, 344 nt
Filed under: uncultured bacterium
Lineage: Bacteria
Description: bacterial SSU rRNA
Rfam family: Bacterial small subunit ribosomal RNA
Source: RNAcentral